This is a long non-coding RNA of Ipomoea nil (Japanese morning glory), 133 nucleotides long. RefSeq lists it as uncharacterized. NCBI's taxonomy places the organism in Eukaryota, Viridiplantae, Streptophyta, Magnoliopsida, Solanales, Convolvulaceae. The record is from RefSeq and is a predicted model, not a curated record. The transcript has 3 exons.
GUGAUGAACUUACCACUGCAAAGAACUUUACUAUGCAUCAUAUGGUGAAAUUUAAAGAACCAGAUUCAUUCUUCCCCACACCCAAACACCCCACAAUGACAAAGAAAAACUGAAGAAAUAUUAAACAGGAAAU